UCCCAUCUCUCUUUUCAUGAAACUUUAGCCUCCCCACUCUAUAAAUAGAACCCCAAAGCCUCCAUCUUCUUCAAUCAAUCCAACCCUAAGUUCUUUUCAAGCUUCUCUCUUCCUCUUCAUUUUCUCCAUAAGUCUAGAAGAAGUACUAACCCUAGCACGACAUCAUAUUCCUCCAUAGAUCUCUUUUUUAUAUCCCAUCAAAUCUAAGAGAGGUCCUAAUCCUAGUAUCGCUAUCCUUUCUCUUCUACAUACCCGUUUCCAUCAACUUUUCUUCCUUGGAGUUCCUAGACUAAGCCUUCCAGCCAUCCUGCCGCUAUCUACAUGGAAGAAGACGAAGGAUUCAAGAAGACACAUCCACUAUCGGACGCAGUAAGAAGAUCAACUUAGUUUAGUUAUCUUGUAUCGCAAUUUUAUUAUUUUUCUUUAUAUAUGCUUCUUUAUUUGAUUAAUGAAAAAUAAUUUUAUUAUAAUUUUUAUAUUUUUUAAUUUUUAUAAUCUAUUAUUCUUUUUUUUGUAUUUUUGAAACAAUUAACUAAGAUUCCUGCGGAUAUGA
Molecule: long non-coding RNA, 553 nt
Filed under: Elaeis guineensis (African oil palm)
Lineage: Eukaryota; Viridiplantae; Streptophyta; Magnoliopsida; Arecales; Arecaceae
Description: long non-coding RNA (EGUI_LNC039492)
Source: RNAcentral